CGGGGCGUAGUUCAGAUGGCUAGAGCGCUUGCAUGGGGUGCAAGAGGUCGCACGUUCAAGUCGUGUCGCCCCGA
This 74-nucleotide transfer RNA is filed under the name Patescibacteria group bacterium. Its description in RNAcentral is "tRNA-Pro". The record is from RNAcentral.